CCGUGAAACGCCCUUACUCCUCCAACAGGUAAAGGAGCUGGUAUCAGGCGCAAACUACCCCGCCCAUAACACCUAGCCACGCCACACCCCCAAGGGAACUCAGCAGUGAUAGACAUUAUUUAUUAGCGUCAGCUUGACCUAGUUACAGUAGACAGAGCCGGCCAAUUCGGUGCCAGCCGCCGCGGCUAUCCCGCUUGGCUCAAGUUGACAUUAUCGGCGUUAAGCGUGAUUAAAGUAAUACUCAAGAUAGAGUCAAACCCAAACCAAGUUGUAAUACACCUGACCACAGGAAACCCACAAGCGAAAGCUACUCUCACCACACUUGAACCCACGACAACUGGGAUACAAACUGGGAUCAGGUACCCCACUAUGCCCAACCGUAAAAUAUUAAUCUACAUUUCAAACCGCCAGGGAAUUACGAGCCCACACUUAAAACCCAAGGGACUUGACGGUGCCCCACCCACCUAGAGGAGCCUGUUCUAUAAUCGACACCCCACGAUAUACCUCACCACCCCUAGCACACUCAGUCUGUAUACCUCCGUCGCAAGCUUACCAUGUGAACGCCACAGUGAGCCAAAAGAUCUGCCACCAACACGUCAGGUCAAGGUGCAACUAACGGAGCGGAAAGCAAUGGGCUACAAUUUCUACAAUAGAACACACAAUAACUGCAUGAAACACAGCCACUAAGGCGGAUUUAGAAGUAAAAAGAAAACAGAGAGUUCUUUUUAACUUGGCCCUGGGACGCGUACACACCGCCCGUCACCCUCCUCACCCCCCACAAGAGGAGGCAAGUCGUAACACGGUAAGCGUACUGGAAGGUGCGCUUGGACAAACAAAGUGUAGCUUAACUAAAGCAUCUCGCUUACACCGAAAUAGAUGUCAACAAAUCUGACCACUUUGAGCCCAAAUCCUAGCCCCCCCCCCCAAAAAAACUCACAGCAAAUAAACAAAACAUUUUUUUAUUUAGUAGCGGAGAUCAAAAAAUAAAUAAGAGCCAUAUAAAUAGUACCGCAAGGGAAACGUGAAAUAACAUGAAAACUUAAGCAAACCACAGCAAAGAUUAACCCUUGUACCUUUUGCAUCAUGGUCUAGCUAGCCUAACCAAGCAAAACGAACUUAAAGUUUGACCCCCCGAAACUAAGCGAGCUACUCUAAAACAGCCCACAGAGCCAACCCAUCCCUGUUACAAAAGGGUGGAAAGAUUUUAAAGUAGAGGUGACACACCAAUCGAGCCUAGAGAUAGCUGGUUAUUCAAAAGACGGAUCUAAGUCCAACUUUAAGCUUCUAUAAGUGGCACAAACAACCCACAAACUUAAAAGCCAUUCAAAUAAGGUACAGCCUAUUUGAACAAGGAGACAACCUAUGACGCAGGGUAACGACCACCACACGUGACUAAGUAGGCCUAAAAGCAGCCAACUUCUAAAGGGCGUCCAAGCCUUACCACACCCACUAUCAAUUUCUCUAUCCACCCACAACCCACAACCAAUAAUGAAUGACCCCAUACCCGUAUGGAAGACACCAUGCUAGAACUAGUAACAAGAAGACGAACUUCUCCAAAAUGCAAACAUAGGCCAAAAUGAACCCUCACCGGCACUUACCGCACCACAACAUAGUACCAACUGCACAAGAAUACCCUACUACAUUAAACGUCAACCUUACACAAGAGCACUCCUGGAAAGAUUAAAAGGGGGGGAAGGAACUCGGCAAACACCAGCCCCGCCUGUUUACCAAAAACAUCGCCUCUUGACAAUAUAAGAGGUCUAGCCUGCCCGGUGACAAUAGUUAAACGGCCGCGGUAUCCUAACCGUGCAAAGGUAGCACAAUCACUUGUUCUCUAAAUCAGGACCAGUAUGAACGGCCCCACGAGGACUAUACUGUCUCCCCCCCCCAAUCAGUGAAACUGAUCCCCUCGUGAAGAAGCGAGGAUACCCCCAUAAGACGAGAAGACCCCAUGGAACUUUAAACUGGUACCACCCACCCCACUUCUACACCACACCAACAGGACGACAUGACUACCAGUCUUUCGGCUGGGGCGGCCACGGAGAAAAACAAAACCCCCGAGAUGAAAGGAAACCCCCUUAUCCAAGAACCACUAUUCCAAGAAUCAACAAAUGACACUAUUGACCCAAUACUUGAUCAACGAACCAAGCUACCCUGGGGAUAACAGCGCAAUCCAUUUCAAGAGACCCCAUCGACAAAUGGGCUUACGACCUCGAUGUUGGAUCAGGGUACCCCGGUGGUGCAGCCGCUACCAAAGGUUCG
RNAcentral lists this non-coding RNA (2262 nucleotides) under Stumpffia nigrorubra. Its description in RNAcentral is "partial contains 12S ribosomal RNA, tRNA-Val, and 16S ribosomal RNA". The stretch from base 1 to 840 matches the Rfam family "Bacterial small subunit ribosomal RNA", at positions 319 to 1533 of the family's 1533-position model. Lineage: Eukaryota; Metazoa; Chordata; Amphibia; Anura; Microhylidae. The record is from RNAcentral.